Molecule: non-coding RNA, 31 nt
Filed under: Rattus norvegicus (Norway rat)
Lineage: Eukaryota; Metazoa; Chordata; Mammalia; Rodentia; Muridae
Source: RNAcentral
UAGCCAUAUUUGAGAUAUCUGUAUUGUAUAC